GACGAACGCUGGCGGCGUGCCUAAUACAUGCGAGUAGAACGCUGAAGGAGGAGCUUGCUUCUCUGGAUGAGUUGCGAACGGGUGAGUAACGCGUAGGUAACCUGCCUGGUAGCGGGGGAUAACUAUUGGAAACGAUAGCUAAUACCGCAUAAGAGUAGAUGUUGCAUGACAUUUGCUUAAAAGGUGCAAUUGCAUCACUACCAGAUGGACCUGCGUUGUAUUAGCUAGUUGGUGAGGUAACGGCUCACCAAGGCGACGAUACAUAGCCGACCUGAGAGGGGGAUCGGCCACACUGGGACUGAGACACGGCCCAGACUCCUACGGGAGGCAGCAGUAGGGAAUCUUCGGCAAUGGACGGAAGUCUGACCGAGCAACGCCGCGUGAGUGAAGAAGGUUUUCGGAUCGUAAAGCUCUGUUGUAAGAGAAGAACGAGUGUGAGAGUGGAAAGUUCACACUGUGACGGUAUCUUACCAGAAAGGGACGGCUAACUACGUG
RNAcentral lists this ribosomal RNA (495 nucleotides) under uncultured bacterium. Its description in RNAcentral is "partial 16S ribosomal RNA". It matches the Rfam family "Bacterial small subunit ribosomal RNA", at positions 28 to 507 of the family's 1533-position model. The record is from RNAcentral.